UACGGAGGGUGCAAGCGUGUCCGGAUUUAUUGGGUUUAAAGGGUGCGUAGGCGGCUGAUUAAGUCAGCGGUGAAAUUCCACAGCUCAACUGUGGAACUGCCAUUGAUACUGGUUAGCUUGAGUACAGAUGAGGUAGGCGGAAUUGACAGUGUAGCGGUGAAAUGCUUAGAUAUUGUCAAGAACACCUAUUGCGAAGGCAGCUUACUAAGCUGUAACUGACGCUGAGGCACGAAAGCGUGGGGAUCAAACAGG
This 252-nucleotide ribosomal RNA is filed under the name uncultured bacterium. Its description in RNAcentral is "partial 16S ribosomal RNA". It matches the Rfam family "Bacterial small subunit ribosomal RNA", at positions 524 to 776 of the family's 1533-position model. The record is from RNAcentral.